Non-coding RNA from Dipodomys ordii (Ord's kangaroo rat), 66 nucleotides. NCBI's taxonomy places the organism in Eukaryota, Metazoa, Chordata, Mammalia, Rodentia, Heteromyidae. The record is from Rfam.
GUGGCUCAGUGGUAGAGUGCUUGCCUUGCAUGUAUGACGCCUGGGGUUCAAUUCCUCAGCAACACA